GAUGAACGCUGGCGGCGUGCCUAAUACAUGCAAGUCGAGCGAACAGACGAGGAGCUUGCUCCUCUGACGUUAGCGGCGGACGGGUGAGUAACACGUGGAUAACCUACCUAUAAGACUGGGAUAACUUCGGGAAACCGGAGCUACUACCGGAUAAUAUAUUGAACCGCAUGGUUCAAUAGUGAAAGACGGUUUUGCUGUCUCUUAUAGAUGGAUCCGCGCCGCAUUAGCUAGUUGGUAAGGUAACGGCUUACCAAGGCGACGAUGCGUAGCCGACCUGAGAGGGUGAUCGGCCACACUGGAACUGAGACACGGUCCAGACUCCUACGGGAGGCAGCAGUAGGGAAUCUUCCGCAAUGGGCGAAAGCCUGACGGAGCAACGCCGCGUGAGUGAUGAAGGUCUUCGGAUCGUAAAACUCUGUUAUUAGGGAAGAACAAAUGUGUAAGUAACUAUGCACGUCUUGACGGUACCUAAUCAGAAAGCCACGGCUAACUACGUG
This 497-nucleotide ribosomal RNA is filed under the name uncultured bacterium. RNAcentral describes it as "partial 16S ribosomal RNA". It matches the Rfam family "Bacterial small subunit ribosomal RNA", at positions 28 to 507 of the family's 1533-position model. The record is from RNAcentral.